UAACCUGCCCAAGAGAUCGGGAUAACACCUGGAAACAGAUGCUAAUACCGGAUAACAACAGAUGAUGCCUAUCAACUGUUUAAAAGAUGGUUCUGCUAUCACUCUUGGAUGGACCUGCGGUGCAUUAGCUAGUUGGUAGGGUAACGGCCUACCAAGGCGAUGAUGCAUAGCCGAGUUGAGAGACUGAUCGGCCACAUUGGGACUGAGACACGGCCCAAACUCCUAGGGAGGCAGCAGCU
Molecule: ribosomal RNA, 239 nt
Filed under: uncultured Lactobacillus sp.
Lineage: Bacteria; Bacillati; Bacillota; Bacilli; Lactobacillales; Lactobacillaceae
Description: partial 16S ribosomal RNA
Rfam family: Bacterial small subunit ribosomal RNA
Source: RNAcentral